This 3025-nucleotide ribosomal RNA is filed under the name Staphylococcus aureus. RNAcentral describes it as "23S ribosomal RNA". It matches the Rfam family "Bacterial large subunit ribosomal RNA". The record is from RNAcentral. Lineage: Bacteria; Bacillati; Bacillota; Bacilli; Caryophanales; Staphylococcaceae.
AGAUUAAGUUAUUAAGGGCGCACGGUGGAUGCCUUGGCACUAGAAGCCGAUGAAGGACGUUACUAACGACGAUAUGCUUUGGGGAGCUGUAAGUAAGCUUUGAUCCAGAGAUUUCCGAAUGGGGAAACCCAGCAUGAGUUAUGUCAUGUUAUCGAUAUGUGAAUACAUAGCAUAUCAGAAGGCACACCCGGAGAACUGAAACAUCUUAGUACCCGGAGGAAGAGAAAGAAAAUUCGAUUCCCUUAGUAGCGGCGAGCGAAACGGGAAGAGCCCAAACCAACAAGCUUGCUUGUUGGGGUUGUAGGACACUCUAUACGGAGUUACAAAGGACGACAUUAGACGAAUCAUCUGGAAAGAUGAAUCAAAGAAGGUAAUAAUCCUGUAGUCGAAAAUGUUGUCUCUCUUGAGUGGAUCCUGAGUACGACGGAGCACGUGAAAUUCCGUCGGAAUCUGGGAGGACCAUCUCCUAAGGCUAAAUACUCUCUAGUGACCGAUAGUGAACCAGUACCGUGAGGGAAAGGUGAAAAGCACCCCGGAAGGGGAGUGAAAUAGAACCUGAAACCGUGUGCUUACAAGUAGUCAGAGCCCGUUAAUGGGUGAUGGCGUGCCUUUUGUAGAAUGAACCGGCGAGUUACGAUUUGAUGCAAGGUUAAGCAGUAAAUGUGGAGCCGUAGCGAAAGCGAGUCUGAAUAGGGCGUUUAGUAUUUGGUCGUAGACCCGAAACCAGGUGAUCUACCCUUGGUCAGGUUGAAGUUCAGGUAACACUGAAUGGAGGACCGAACCGACUUACGUUGAAAAGUGAGCGGAUGAACUGAGGGUAGCGGAGAAAUUCCAAUCGAACCUGGAGAUAGCUGGUUCUCUCCGAAAUAGCUUUAGGGCUAGCCUCAAGUGAUGAUUAUUGGAGGUAGAGCACUGUUUGGACGAGGGGCCCCUCUCGGGUUACCGAAUUCAGACAAACUCCGAAUGCCAAUUAAUUUAACUUGGGAGUCAGAACAUGGGUGAUAAGGUCCGUGUUCGAAAGGGAAACAGCCCAGACCACCAGCUAAGGUCCCAAAAUAUAUGUUAAGUGGAAAAGGAUGUGGCGUUGCCCAGACAACUAGGAUGUUGGCUUAGAAGCAGCCAUCAUUUAAAGAGUGCGUAAUAGCUCACUAGUCGAGUGACACUGCGCCGAAAAUGUACCGGGGCUAAACAUAUUACCGAAGCUGUGGAUUGUCCUUUGGACAAUGGUAGGAGAGCGUUCUAAGGGCGUUGAAGCAUGAUCGUAAGGACNNGUGNNNNNNNNNNNNNNNNNNNNNNNNNNNNNNNNNNNNNNNNNNNNNNNNNNNNNNNNNNNNNNNNNNNNNNNNNNNNNNNNNNNNNCGUAAGGACAUGUGGAGCGCUUAGAAGUGAGAAUGCCGGUGUGAGUAGCGAAAGACGGGUGAGAAUCCCGUCCACCGAUUGACUAAGGUUUCCAGAGGAAGGCUCGUCCGCUCUGGGUUAGUCGGGUCCUAAGCUGAGGCCGACAGGCGUAGGCGAUGGAUAACAGGUUGAUAUUCCUGUACCACCUAUAAUCGUUUUAAUCGAUGGGGGGACGCAGUAGGAUAGGCGAAGCGUGCGAUUGGAUUGCACGUCUAAGCAGUAAGGCUGAGUAUUAGGCAAAUCCGGUACUCGUUAAGGCUGAGCUGUGAUGGGGAGAAGACAUUGUGUCUUCGAGUCGUUGAUUUCACACUGCCGAGAAAAGCCUCUAGAUAGAAAAUAGGUGCCCGUACCGCAAACCGACACAGGUAGUCAAGAUGAGAAUUCUAAGGUGAGCGAGCGAACUCUCGUUAAGGAACUCGGCAAAAUGACCCCGUAACUUCGGGAGAAGGGGUGCUCUUUAGGGUUAACGCCCAGAAGAGCCGCAGUGAAUAGGCCCAAGCGACUGUUUAUCAAAAACACAGGUCUCUGCUAAACCGUAAGGUGAUGUAUAGGGGCUGACGCCUGCCCGGUGCUGGAAGGUUAAGAGGAGUGGUUAGCUUCUGCGAAGCUACGAAUCGAAGCCCCAGUAAACGGCGGCCGUAACUAUAACGGUCCUAAGGUAGCGAAAUUCCUUGUCGGGUAAGUUCCGACCCGCACGAAAGGCGUAACGAUUUGGGCACUGUCUCAACGAGAGACUCGGUGAAAUCAUAGUACCUGUGAAGAUGCAGGUUACCCGCGACAGGACGGAAAGACCCCGUGGAGCUUUACUGUAGCCUGAUAUUGAAAUUCGGCACAGCUUGUACAGGAUAGGUAGGAGCCUUUGAAACGUGAGCGCUAGCUUACGUGGAGGCGCUGGUGGGAUACUACCCUAGCUGUGUUGGCUUUCUAACCCGCACCACUUAUCGUGGUGGGAGACAGUGUCAGGCGGGCAGUUUGACUGGGGCGGUCGCCUCCUAAAAGGUAACGGAGGCGCUCAAAGGUUCCCUCAGAAUGGUUGGAAAUCAUUCAUAGAGUGUAAAGGCAUAAGGGAGCUUGACUGCGAGACCUACAAGUCGAGCAGGGUCGAAAGACGGACUUAGUGAUCCGGUGGUUCCGCAUGGAAGGGCCAUCGCUCAACGGAUAAAAGCUACCCCGGGGAUAACAGGCUUAUCUCCCCCAAGAGUUCACAUCGACGGGGAGGUUUGGCACCUCGAUGUCGGCUCAUCGCAUCCUGGGGCUGUAGUCGGUCCCAAGGGUUGGGCUGUUCGCCCAUUAAAGCGGUACGCGAGCUGGGUUCAGAACGUCGUGAGACAGUUCGGUCCCUAUCCGUCGUGGGCGUAGGAAAUUUGAGAGGAGCUGUCCUUAGUACGAGAGGACCGGGAUGGACAUACCUCUGGUGUACCAGUUGUCGUGCCAACGGCAUAGCUGGGUAGCUAUGUGUGGACGGGAUAAGUGCUGAAAGCAUCUAAGCAUGAAGCCCCCCUCAAGAUGAGAUUUCCCAACUUCGGUUAUAAGAUCCCUCAAAGAUGAUGAGGUUAAUAGGUUCGAGGUGGAAGCAUGGUGACAUGUGGAGCUGACGAAUACUAAUCGAUCGAAGACUUAAUCAAAA